This 468-nucleotide ribosomal RNA is filed under the name uncultured bacterium. RNAcentral's name for it is "partial 16S ribosomal RNA". It matches the Rfam family "Bacterial small subunit ribosomal RNA", at positions 28 to 507 of the family's 1533-position model. The record is from RNAcentral.
GACGAACGCUGGCGGCGUGCUUAACACAUGCAAGUCGAACGGAAAGGCCCUGCUUUUGUGGGGUGCUCGAGUGGCGAACGGGUGAGUAACACGUGAGUAACCUGCCCUUGACUUUGGGAUAACUUCAGGAAACUGGGGCUAAUACCGGAUAGGAGCUCCUGCUGCAUGGUGGGGGUUGGAAAGUUUCGGCGGUUGGGGAUGGACUCGCGGCUUAUCAGCUUGUUGGUGGGGUAGUGGCUUACCAAGGCUUUGACGGGUAGCCGGCCUGGGAGGGUGACCGGCCACAUUGGGACUGAGAUACGGCCCAGACUCCUACGGGCGGCAGCAGUGGGGAAUAUUGCACAAUGGGCGGAAGCCUGAUGCCGCAACGCCGCGUGCGGGAUGACGGCCUUCGGGUUGUAAACCGCUUUCGCCUGUGACGAAGCGUGAGUGACGGUAAUGGGUAAAGAAGCACCGGCUAACUACGUG